UGGGGAAUUUUGGACAAUGGGCGAAAGCCUGAUCCAGCAAUGCCGCGUGUGUGAAGAAGGCCUUCGGGUUGUAAACACUUUUGUCCGGAAAGAAAUCCUUGGCUCUAAUACAGUCGGGGGAUGACGGUACCGGAAGAAUAAGCACCGGCUAACUACGUGCCAGCAGCCGCGGUAAUACGUAGGGUGCAAGCGUUAAUCGGAAUUACUGGGCGUAAAGCGUGCGCAGGCGGUUUGCUAAGACCGAUGUGAAAUCCCCGGGCUCAACCUGGGAACUGCAUUGGUGACUGGCAGGCUAGAGUAUGGCAGAGGGGGGUAGAAUUCCACGUGUAGCAGUGAAAUGCGUAGAGAUGUGGAGGAAUACCGAUGGCGAAGGCAGCCCCCUGGGCCAAUACUGACGCUCAUGCACGAAAGCGUGGGGGAGCAAACAGGAUUAGAUACCCUGGUAGUCCACGCCCUAAACGAUGUCAACUAGUUGUUGGGGAUUCAUUUCCUUAGUAACGUAGCUAACGCGUGAAGUUGACCGCCUGGGGAGUACGGUCGCAAGAUUAAAACUCAAAGGAAUUGACGGGGUCAUAGCUGUUUCCU
RNAcentral lists this ribosomal RNA (585 nucleotides) under uncultured bacterium. Its description in RNAcentral is "partial 16S ribosomal RNA". It matches the Rfam family "Bacterial small subunit ribosomal RNA", at positions 355 to 1375 of the family's 1533-position model. The record is from RNAcentral.